GAAGCAAUUCAUUGCCUUUAAAUGGCUCCAUGCUCAGGUCCACCACCUCACAAAAUGACAGAAACAAGGAUGCUGGGAGCAGGGUGUGGAAACCAUUGGACCACAUAGCCCCCCUUUGCAGGUUUGGGUGAGGAUUUGAUGCCUCUAUGGAUACCAGUAGGCCGUUGGUGUACCUGGUAUCUCUAUGAAUGAUGAUGUCUACACUGAUCCAGACACUGUUGCCAAACAUUCUGCUUUUCAUUAUGCAUGAGCCUCUGCACCUGAUAAUUAUCACCCUGUAUUUUGUACCUUCGUCAUCUGUAGCGGGUAGAGUGACUUCCUACACCAUUUCCUGUAUGUCUUGUGGUGCCCUGACAUGGGUCCAGGGCCACACUGCAUCCACAGCCAAACACUCAAUCAAUCAUCAAUAAUGGAUUAACUUCUCAUGGUCAGGGUUCAUAGUCAUGUAGAACAUUUUAAAGGAGAUUAUAUUUGCUGUUGACUGUAGAAAUUAUUUAUUUCACAAUUGCAAUUUUGGCUUUGGGCCAUUUUCAAUUGGGAUUUCAAAAGAUUUUGCGUACUGUAUUUCUGCAAUGAAAAGGCUUGUUUUUGACGAUGUCAUGUAUAGAUGUCGGAGAAUUUGAAAGUCCGACAUGUGCUGAAGCAAAAUCUUUUGCAGUGCCAUUUGAAAAUGGCUCAAAACCCAAAAUUGCAACUGCGAAACAAAUAAUUUCUACAGUUAUCAGCAAAUAUGAUGUCCUUUAAAAAGUUCUACAUGACUGCGAACCAUGACCACCUUAUUGGUGAAUUGCCAGCAUCACAUCCUUGCCUUUUCAACCAUAACAGGAUGAGUUCCCUAAUCAGUGGCCAGAAAGUGUGAUUUUAUCAUCCCCUUGAUAUGGACAGUUAUCGCCCAAUUAACAUCACCAAUGUUCUCAUGAAUGUUCUCUGCAAGUUGCUCGAUUGUAUGGUGAUGUGAUGGCUGUGUUGGUACCUUGUGUCAGGGGUCUUCAGGUGCCAUCUGAGAGCAGUUUUCGCCAAGGCCAUUCUCCUGUUGACAGUUUGGUAUGCCUAGAGUCUGAUAUUCUGUCAGCUUAUGCCUGGUACUGACAUCUUAUUGCUGUCUUCCUUUGACUGACAUAGGACUUACAAGAUGACAUGUCAUCACCACAUCCCUUCUAUCCUCCAUGUGUGGGUCUCCAGGGUCAACUCCUGAUUUUUGUCUCAAACUUCUUGCCUUACUAUACUUUCUGGGUUCGACAGCAUUCCCCAUAUACAAGAAAAUAGGGUCCCCAAGACUCUGUAUAGCGUGUGUCCCUUUUUAUAAUGGUUAUCAAUGGUCUUGCUUCAGCUGUGGGGUCUGCAGUGUCACCUUCCUCGUAUGCUGAUGACUUUUGCAUCCACUAUUGCUCCUGAACUGUAGGUGUUGUUGAAUGCCAACUGCAGGGUGCUGUUCAAAUGUGCAGUCCUCGGCUGUCACCCAUGGCUUCUGGUUUUCUGCCGCAAAGAUGUGUCAUGCACUUCUGUUGCUGUCGUUCUGUCUAUCCCCAACCUGAAAUCUACUCCAAAGACCAAAUGCUCAGUGUGGUGUAGUCUUAUCAUUUUUUCGGACUGGUCAUCAGUGCCUGGUUAAUGUGGCUUCCUCAUCUUCCCCAACUUAAGGAAAUGUGCUGGUCACACCUUAACACUCAUCGCUGUCUCUGUUACACCAUCUGUGGUGAAGACUGUUCUACACUUUUGGGUUCUAAAAGGCUCUGAUUCUUUCACAUCCUGAUUAUGGAAGCCUGGCAUCAUCUUCAGCAUUUCAGACACUGGCUGGACCCGAUAUACCAUUAUGGUUUCCAACUUGCAACAGGUAGCUUUUGGACUAGCCCUGUGAACAGCCUGGUCACAGAGCUGGCGUCAUCAGCUACUGCUCAACUGAGCAUCUGAACUACCGUGUACUUUUUCCUGUUAAGGAGCUUGACCUCCCAUAACAGAGGUCAUGGUUUGGCAUCAUGAUUGCAGUUCGCAUACAAAAUCUCUGCCCUGAACUCCAUCUUUCUCCACUGUUGCUUCGUGUCAGGGAGCAAUCACAUGCAGGGUGUGUAACCCAUACUCAAAUCUGCCUUGGCCUCUCCUAUGGACUAAAAGACUGUAUAGACCCUUUGGUUUCUCAUAACCUGUUCCUGGAUGUCCUCAGUGCGUUUCCAGGCUCAGACGUGGUGUAUACUAAUGGUUCUAAAGUCAGUGGGUGAACCAGUUUUGCCUACACUUAUGCAAGAUGCAGUGAACUACACCUAUGCUGAGUGGAUGCAGUGUACUGACUGUGGAAUUGGUGACCAUUGCUCGAGGCCUGAACCACAUUCAUUCUUGCACUGGCAAGCUGUUCUUAAUCAGCAGUGACUCCGUGAGUAGUCUUCAGGCUGUCGACCAGUGCUACCCUCAACACUCAUUGGUUGUCAUUAUCCAGGAUCUCCUGUAUAAUCUCCACCAUGCUGGAUGGUCAGACAUCUUUGUAUGGGCCCCUGGUCACAUUGGGAUCCUUGGGAAUGAACAUGCUGACUGGAUGGCUAAAUUGGCUACCAGGAUGCCAACUUUGGAGGUGGGGGUAGCGGAACCAGACCUUCAGUUGACUCCAUGCUGACAGUUGUUGGAGACUAGGAAUCAAUUGUCACAUCAUUGGUACAAAGUCAACUGCCAUAUCUUCCCUAAAUUUAAGCCUUUUUCUUUUCUGUUAAAAUUAUUGUGAUGUUUAUAAAUCUCUAUGGCUUUUCUGUACAUAGAUGCAUAAUAAUGCUAUGUCAUAACUAGCAUGCUUUUCUCACUACAUUUUAAUUCAUGAUCACCAUCGUCAAAAACAUGUUCUGCUACAGCCGAUUUGUCAGUGAUUCCCAGGUGACAGUUUCGUUUUCGUUUGGUUAGGCGGAUAUUAACACUUCUUUUCAUUGUUCCAAUAUAAACUUCAGUAGGGGUUCCAAUAGCACUCACUAUUGGUCUCAGUGGGACAGAAGGCGUAUGCACCUUAGGUAGCCCAUAAAAUCUAGGAUGGUAUGCUUCCUUUUUUUUGCAAGGGUAUUUUUUAUCAUCUGUAGGAAUGGAAGACUUUUUUUUAUUAAAUGAUUGGUAGCUGUUAACACUUUUGUUGUAGGAUCCUUUUUCAACUUUUUAUAAGUGGUAGGCUCCAAAACAUCACUGAUCUUCGUAUGGUUGCCUUCACUCUUCAAGUGCUAUUGGAGUGCUAUUAGAUCCACUCCUCAAGAGUUGGCUAGACAUCUCACCUUCUUUUUACAACUGUAUGUUGGAAAAACUGACCAUCAUAUUAAGAAGUCUAUGCACUUUAUUGAAAAAUUGAAGGAGAUUACUGUCAGUCCAAGUAAUGUUCUUGUCAGUUUUGAUUUGGUAUCCCUGCUCACCAUGGUUCUGAUUAACGAAGCUCUUUCUUACGUGGCUGAUAAGUUUCCCACUGUUACGGUAUCUUUGUUUUGACAUUCCCUAUCCAUGAUUAUUUUCAGUAUAAUUAUGAGUUCUGUGAGCAGAUUGAAGGAGUGACAAUGGAAAGCCCUCUAAGUCCAGUUGCUAAUCUUUUUAUGGAAUUUUUUGAACAGCAGGCGCUGCAGUCAGCCAAUAAAAGUCCUCUGAAGUGGUAUUGAUGUUGUGGAUGAUGCUUUUGUGAUAUCACAAUGAAGAGGAAUUGAAUGGUUUCUUGGUGCAUUUAAAUAGUGUCAGAGAGCAAUGGACAGCUUAAUUUUUUGAAUGUUUCAGUAAUUAAAAGGGCAGAUUGGACCUUAGGCCAUAAAGUAUAUAGGAAAGAUACACGUACCGACCAUUACCUCCAUAACGAUUUGAACCAUCAUCCCAGGCAGAAGAGAGGUGUUAUUAAAACUUUGAUGGACAAGGCUAAUGAAAUCUGUGAGCCAGUUUAUUUGCAUGAGAAACUAGAUCAUUUGCAAACAGCUUGUAAGAAAAAUGGAUACACUGAUAAUGAGAUAGGCUGAGCACUCCAUCGCAGAAGAAAAGUGUCCAAAAACAUGGAACAACAACAACAACAACAACAACAACAACAGCAGCAGCAGCAGCAGCAACCAUCGACUGGGAAAAUUUUUCUUCCAUUUAUCCACAAUAUUAUGGACCGUAUUGGGAAAGUUAUGGCCCAAGUUUUCUAAGUUGAAACAAUCUUUAGACACACCAAGAAGAUUUAUAAACAUCACAAUAAUUUUAACAGAAAAGAAGAAGCCUUAAAGUUAGAUAAGAUAUGGCUGCCAACUUUGACUGUCAGAGAUAGUUUCACUGGUGACAGCAUGUGACAAGUGAGGGUACCCUCUAUGCACUCUACAUAAACGGGACCUCUGCAGUCCACAGUCCAGGAGCCAGUUGUUGACUCACCUUGAAAGAUGUUGCCUGCAGCUAGCAACGAAACAUCAGGAAGAAUUUCUACUGUUCAACCAUGGCAUCUUAGCCCAGAAGUUUUAAUUAAUUAGAGAAUCUACUGUCCUGGCCACCUUUUGGUGAAACUUUAAAUAUAUUGAUGCAAUAACGCUGGUGCUAGCAGACGACACCAGAGCAGUUGAUUUGGUUUAAUUUUUUACUUGUGAGUUUAGUUUUUCAUUCUCUCUGUGUCAUACAGCACAUUAGCCUCAUUGGCUGCGUGAGGGAUUGGAGGGAUGCCCCCAUCACCUGCUCCGAACCGAGGGUCCUACAGCUGCCCUUGCUCAGUGGUCCAUCCUAGCUCAUGCCCUUUUCACCUUUUUAAAUCAUGUUAUUCUUUCACAUCUAUUGUCGGUUGACAGACUUGACGUAAUUGUUCUCUUUCCUGAGAUUUUAUCUUGUCCAUGUAGCUAGUUUACUUGUGGUUAUAGAGGGUAUGGCAGCACCAUUCGGGUGCAGAGGACUUGUUUCUAGCUGCAUAAUGUGUUACUGGGUCUCCAGCUGCUUUCUAGGCAGGGCAACUCUUCCACCUUCACCCUUUUACCCCUCUCUCACUUCUACUUGUUUCUGACUCUUUAUUCUCAGAUACAGUCGAGCCCAUUGUGAUUUGUCUUUUGUGUCCUUCCUCUCUGAUUCCCAGAUUGUCACACAAAGGAUUAAGGGAGUAGUGACCUCAUGGUUUGGUUCCUUUAACCCCACCCACCCAUCCGUCCAUCCAUCCACACAUCUAUCCAUCCAUCCAUCAACCUUAACACUAUUUGCUGUAAGUAGCAGCCUUAAAUUAAAGAUAUGGUGAAGUUAUAUGAAGUUAUGGUUGAGAUACCACAAAUGAAGAUCAUGUGAAUAUGAGUUCACAGUUCACUGGUACAUGACUGCUUGGUGAUGAAACAUGUUUCUUACACAUUACGUUGGCAGCAAGCAUGACAAACAUUCAUCAAGAUCUACAUGUUGCUUCCUGUCUAGCUGGAUGUUUUGAAGGGCACAUAGUGUACCAGUAUCAUUUUAGCUCCUAUCGAUUCCAUCCUCAUAAUGUGUGCAGGAAGAAUGAUUUUUGUCUUCUUCUGUAUAAGUACAAAUUUUCCUGGCAUUACUGUCGUGGAUAUUAUCUGAACUGUAUGUGGAAGAAGGUAGUUUGGCAAAUUCAAUUAUUUUGUGUUGUUUUCCAAAUAUCACAGAUUGUUGUUUCACCAACAUUAUAAAUCAGUGCCAGAUUCUACUUAUCAGUGUUGCCUUCUUCAAGUUUGUGUAUUAUUUACAGUUUCUGCUGUAUCAUGAUAACAACACAUUUUUGCUUUUAAGACUGUGUGUAGCAAUAACAGAAACCAAAUGACUACAGUAUCCACCGCAACAGUACAGUCCAGUACUUGAUGUGUUUGAACAGCACAUCGUUUACUACACUCAUGUUGUAACAUGACAUUAUCCUUCCAGGUAGAAGAAAAAUUUUCAGCACCCAGCAGCUAAAAAAAAGGAAGGAAGAAAGUUGGGAGAAAUAGGCCACAUAUAAUCCGCUCGCAGCUAAUAGCCAGAUGCUAACUGUUCCACACAUACAAAGCUGGGCUGCUCCAGACAGCAAUUGGAAUCAGCAGUAUUCAUGCCCUAAUUGCUUCAAAGUAUAUCGCUGGAUGAUCUCAUUGCGCAGACAUAUGAGAUUAGAAUGUGGAAAAGAGGGAAACCUUUGUUGCUCCAUCUGCAGUCGUCGCUUCAAGCAUAAGCAUCACCUUGUUAAUCACUUAGGUGUUCACAGACGCAGGGAUUACAUGGCCAGUGGAAGCAGUUAACUGGUCUGAAAAUUGUGUGGAGGGCUCUGAUGAAAGAAUUGGUUUAGAGGCAAGAUUUGUGUGCAGUAACUGCGGAAAAUAUUAUCACCUGAAUACUUCUCUCCAACGCCAUCUGCGUGUAGAAUGUGGACAAGAAGGAAGACAUGCAUGUUUCUCAUGUGGUCGCAAAUUUAAGCAUAGGUUUACUCUCGCAACGCAUGUAAGAAGAAACAUCUGUGACAGAUUCAGGAACUUACAGUGAAAUAAGAGCAAUUUUGACUGUAAAAGGAUUUUACAGUGUGAUUGCAAGCAUUUCAAUAAAUCAAUAUCGCAUAUGAGGCAUUUUGUUGAGUCA
RNA transcript from Schistocerca americana (American grasshopper), 6498 nucleotides. It is a transcript of the gene named zinc finger protein 319-like, with no coding region annotated. The transcript has 3 exons. The record is from RefSeq and is a predicted model, not a curated record. Lineage: Eukaryota; Metazoa; Arthropoda; Insecta; Orthoptera; Acrididae.